Molecule: ribosomal RNA, 1086 nt
Filed under: Acinetobacter nosocomialis
Lineage: Bacteria; Pseudomonadati; Pseudomonadota; Gammaproteobacteria; Moraxellales; Moraxellaceae
Description: bacterial SSU rRNA
Rfam family: Bacterial small subunit ribosomal RNA
Source: RNAcentral
GGGCGCAAGCCUGAUCCAGCCAUGCCGCGUGUGUGAAGAAGGCCUUAUGGUUGUAAAGCACUUUAGCGAGGAGAGGCUACUUUAGAUAUACCUAGAGAUAGUGGACGUUACUCGCAGAAUAAGCACCGGCUAACUCUGUGCCAGCAGCCGCGGUAAUACAGAGGGUGCAAGCGUUAAUCGGAUUUACUGGGCGUAAAGCGCGCGUAGGCGGCUAAUUAAGUCAAAUGUGAAAUCCCCGAGCUUAACUUGGGAAUUGCAUUCGAUACUGGUUAGCUAGAGUGUGGGAGAGGAUGGUAGAAUUCCAGGUGUAGCGGUGAAAUGCGUAGAGAUCUGGAGGAAUACCGAUGGCGAAGGCAGCCAUCUGGCCUAACACUGACGCUGAGGUGCGAAAGCAUGGGGAGCAAACAGGAUUAGAUACCCUGGUAGUCCAUGCCGUAAACGAUGUCUACUAGCCGUUGGGGCCUUUGAGGCUUUAGUGGCGCAGCUAACGCGAUAAGUAGACCGCCUGGGGAGUACGGUCGCAAGACUAAAACUCAAAUGAAUUGACGGGGGCCCGCACAAGCGGUGGAGCAUGUGGUUUAAUUCGAUGCAACGCGAAGAACCUUACCUGGCCUUGACAUAGUAAGAACUUUCCAGAGAUGGAUUGGUGCCUUCGGGAACUUACAUACAGGUGCUGCAUGGCUGUCGUCAGCUCGUGUCGUGAGAUGUUGGGUUAAGUCCCGCAACGAGCGCAACCCUUUUCCUUAUUUGCCAGCGAGUAAUGUCGGGAACUUUAAGGAUACUGCCAGUGACAAACUGGAGGAAGGCGGGGACGACGUCAAGUCAUCAUGGCCCUUACGGCCAGGGCUACACACGUGCUACAAUGGUCGGUACAAAGGGUUGCUACACAGCGAUGUGAUGCUAAUCUCAAAAAGCCGAUCGUAGUCCGGAUUGGAGUCUGCAACUCGACUCCAUGAAGUCGGAAUCGCUAGUAAUCGCGGAUCAGAAUGCCGCGGUGAAUACGUUCCCGGGCCUUGUACACACCGCCCGUCACACCAUGGGAGUUUGUUGCACCAGAAGUAGCUAGCCUAACUGCAAAGAGGGCGG